AUAAAAAUAUACCGAAUAAUUUACCAGACCAGACCACUGUUGCCUGAACCUGCAGGGCUUUAUACCGAAUAAUUUACCAGACCAGACCACUGUUGCCGAACCUGCAGGGCUUUUGCCACUGUCUGACGGACGGCGCCUAGGCUUUCCUUGGAGCUCCAUAGCCCAACCACGCACGGCUUUCGCCGUGUCUAACAGGCAGGCUUUUACCAGACCAGGAAAUGGUACCAAUACCAAAUAAUAAAGCACCGUCUCUUACCAAUGCCGUUGGUCCGUCGAGAGCACCGGAGGUCGGUCGCGGUCGAUGGCUCCCCGAGAAUCACUCGGUGCCAGCUGGAGCUGGAUCGAUGCGCGAGCCGCCUCAGCAAUGCUCGCGAGGUCCCAUCUGGGUCGCCAAAACUGUUAGCCGAGAGAAGAACACAUAACCACUCUAAGGAGGUUAUAUGUGGUGCUUUAUUCCGAGGCCCCGGGAACCAGGGGUACGCACCCAAAUCUGGUUCCAAAGACCAUCACAACGUGUUCACAAUUUAUGCUGUAAAGUAUUACAUAUGCAUCACCUUUCCCAAUAUGCUGAUACAUAUUCAUGACCUAUCCCCGCUUCGUAUUAUAAUGAGUACAAAAGUCAUUUCCAUAUGUUCUGCCCUUGCGCAGUGCCUCCUGGUGGUCGCGGGCAGGGGUCUCAAGAUGAAGUAAGUAGUCUUCCUCAGAUGAAGUAAGACGUCUUCCUUGCUGUGUACUUUUCACCUUUCGAGUCCUGGAUAGGUUCCAACGAUGGUGCUUGCACCAGCAUUCUCCUUAUCUCUCUCUGACUGGUACUGGUAUGCAUCUUCGUUUCUUAUCUUAAAAGUUCUGCUUUGAAGUAAUCUGAGGAGUACUGUUUCGCUUGGAUAGUCUCAUAUAUCUAUGUCCACAUCCUAGUUACCAAACUUCUCUGGCUUAGCAACAGGCUUAACGGAACACAAAUCAAGCAAAUCACAAGUCUAAAUACUCUAUAUAUCUAACACCCUGACAUGGCUCCGGCUGCCUCACGCCUGUGAGGUUCCUCCGAUGGUUCCGUCGGGUCCAUCUCCGCCGCAAUCCCCACAGGCCUGGGGGGCGGCACAC
Molecule: long non-coding RNA, 1101 nt
Filed under: Strigops habroptila (Kakapo)
Lineage: Eukaryota; Metazoa; Chordata; Aves; Psittaciformes; Psittacidae
Description: lncRNA (ENSSHBG00005008056.1)
Source: RNAcentral